RNAcentral lists this ribosomal RNA (173 nucleotides) under uncultured Gammaproteobacteria bacterium. RNAcentral's name for it is "partial 16S ribosomal RNA". It matches the Rfam family "Bacterial small subunit ribosomal RNA", at positions 1210 to 1382 of the family's 1533-position model. Lineage: Bacteria; Pseudomonadati; Pseudomonadota; Gammaproteobacteria. The record is from RNAcentral.
AGGGCUACACACGUGCUACAAUGGCCAGUACAGAAGGUUGCCAACCCGCGAGGGGGAGCUAAUCCUGAAAAGCUGGUCGUAGUCCGGAUCGCAGUCUGCAACUCGACUGCGUGAAGUCGGAAUCGCUAGUAAUCGCGAAUCAGCAUGUCGCGGUGAAUACGUUCACGGGCCUU